This 301-nucleotide ribosomal RNA is filed under the name uncultured bacterium. RNAcentral's name for it is "partial 16S ribosomal RNA". It matches the Rfam family "Bacterial small subunit ribosomal RNA", at positions 509 to 807 of the family's 1533-position model. The record is from RNAcentral.
CAGCAGCCGCGGGAAUACGUAGGGUGCAAGCGUUAAUCGGAAUUACUGGGCGUAAAGCGUGCGCAGGCGGUUCGGAAAGAAAGGUGUGAAAUCCCAGGGCUUAACCUUGGAACUGCACUUUUAACUACCGGGCUAGAGUGUGUCAGAGGGGGGUGGAAUUCCGCGUGUAGCAGUGAAAUGCGUAGAGAUGCGGAGGAACACCGAUGGCGGAGGCAGCCCCCUGGGAUAACACUGACGCUCAUGCACGAAAGCGUGGGGAGCAAACAGGAUUAGAUACCCCCGUAGUCCCUGUCUCUUAUAC